RNAcentral lists this ribosomal RNA (433 nucleotides) under uncultured bacterium. RNAcentral describes it as "partial 16S ribosomal RNA". It matches the Rfam family "Bacterial small subunit ribosomal RNA", at positions 29 to 507 of the family's 1533-position model. The record is from RNAcentral.
AACGAACGCUGGCGGCAUGCCUAACACAUGCAAGUCGAACGAGACCUUCAGGUCUAGUGGCGCACGGGUGCGUAACGCGUGGGAACCUGCCCUUAGGUUCGGAAUAACUCCCCGAAAGGGGUGCUAAUACCGGAUAAUGUCUUCGGACCAAAGAUUUAUCGCCUUUGGAUGGGCCCGCGUUGGAUUAGCUAGUUGGUAGGGUAAAAGCCUACCAAGGCGACGAUCCAUAGCUGGUCUGAGAGGAUGAUCAGCCACACUGGGACUGAGACACGGCCCAGACUCCUACGGGAGGUAGCAGUGGGGAAUAUUGGACAAUGGGCGAAAGCCUGAUCCAGCAAUGCCGCGUGAGUGAUGAAGGCCUUAGGGUUGUAAAGCUCUUUUACCCGGGAUGAUAAUGACAGUACCGGGAGAAUAAGCUCCGGCUAACUCCGUG